AAAACUUUCAACAACGGAUCUCUUGGUUCUGGCAUCGAUGAAGAACGCAGCGAAAUGCGAUAAGUAAUGUGAAUCGCAGAACUCAGUGAAUCAUCGAAUCUUUGAACGCACAUUGCGCCCCUUGGUAUUCCGAGGGGCAUACCUGUUCGAGCGUCAUUACACCCCUCACGCCCCCCCCCCUGGGGCGUGGUCUUG
This 195-nucleotide ribosomal RNA is filed under the name Sticta sp. RNAcentral describes it as "5.8S ribosomal RNA". The stretch from base 3 to 156 matches the Rfam family "5.8S ribosomal RNA". Rfam says of the family: 5.8S ribosomal RNA (5.8S rRNA) is a component of the large subunit of the eukaryotic ribosome. It is transcribed by RNA polymerase I as part of the 45S precursor that also contains 18S and 28S rRNA. Lineage: Eukaryota; Fungi; Ascomycota; Lecanoromycetes; Peltigerales; Lobariaceae. The record is from RNAcentral.